RNAcentral lists this ribosomal RNA (1259 nucleotides) under Porphyromonas sp. RNAcentral's name for it is "partial 23S ribosomal RNA". It matches the Rfam family "Bacterial large subunit ribosomal RNA", at positions 1199 to 2476 of the family's 2925-position model. Lineage: Bacteria; Pseudomonadati; Bacteroidota; Bacteroidia; Bacteroidales; Porphyromonadaceae. The record is from RNAcentral.
GCUGUGGAAUCCGUAAGGAUUGGUAGGAGAGCGUUCUGUAGGCCGUUGAAGGAGAAGGGUAACCGACUCUGGAGGUAUCAGAAGUGAGAAUGCAGGAAUAAGUAGCGAGAAAGGGGGCGAGAAUCCCCCUCGCCGGAAGACCAAGGUUUUCAGGGUAAAGCUUGUCUUCCCUGAGUAAGCCGGGACCUAAGCCCAGGCUAUAAUGCGUAGGCGAAUGGAAAACAGAUUAAUAUUUCUGUGCCAGUCAUAUAUUGUGAUGGAGGGACGCAGAAGGGUAUGCGCGCGGACGAACGGAAGUGUCCGUAGAAGUAUGUAGGAUGACUUGAUAGGAAAAUCCAUUGAGUUAUAUCUGAGGUAUGAUAUACAGUCGUAAGAUGAAUGCGCAAAUCCCACGCUGCCAAGAAAAGCUUCUAACGUUAAUAUUUGACUGCCCGUACUGCAAACCGACACAGGUGGUCAGGAUGAGAAAUCUAAGGCGGACAGGCUAACUCUCGUUAAGGAACUCUGCAAAAUAACCUCGUAACUUCGGGAGAAGAGGAGCCCUUGAGGGUCAGUAUCCACGCGAUACAAAGCGCUCGAGGGUCGCAGUGAAGAGGCUCAAGCAACUGUUUAACAAAAACACAGGUCUAUGCUAAGCUGGAAGGCGAUGUAUAUGGGCUGACACCUGCCCAGUGCUGGAAGGUUAAGAGGAGGAGUGAGAGCUCCGAAUUGAAGCCCCAGUGAACGGCGGCCGUAACUAUAACGGUCCUAAGGUAGCGAAAUUCNNNNNNNNNNCACGAAUGGUGUAAUGAUUUGAGCGCUGUCUUGACGGGAGGCCUGGUGAAAUUGUAUUACCGGUGAAGAUACCGGUUACCUACAGUAGGACGGAAAGACCCCAUGGAGCUUUACUGUAGCUUGGUAUUGGGUUUUGGCAUUGCAUGUAUAGGAUAGUUGGGAGACUGAGAUGAUAUGGCGCUAGCUGUAUCGGAGUCAUCGGUGGAAUACCAACCAUUCAAUGCUGAAAUUCUAAUCUGUGGUUUGUAGCCACGGAGACAGUGCUAGGUGGGCAGUUUGACUGGGGCGGUCGCCUCCGAAAGAGUAACGGAGGCGUUCAAAGGUUCUCUCAGCGCGGACAGAAAUCGCGCAAUAGAGUGUAAAGGCAGAAGGGAGCUUAACUGGGAGACUUACAAGUCGAGCAGAUACGAAAGUAGGACUUAGUGAUCCGGUGGAUUAUGAAUGGAAAUGCCAUCGCUCAACGGACAAAAGUUACCCUGGGGAUA